RNAcentral lists this small RNA (125 nucleotides) under Marmota monax (woodchuck). The record is from RNAcentral. Lineage: Eukaryota; Metazoa; Chordata; Mammalia; Rodentia; Sciuridae.
GUUGGGCACGGUGGUGCAAGCCUGUAAUCCCAGCAGCUUGGGAGGCUGAGACAGGAGGAUCACAGGUUCAAAGCCAGCCUCAGUAACAGAGAGGCAUUAAGUAAAUCAGUGAGACCCUGUCUCUA